Molecule: long non-coding RNA, 463 nt
Filed under: Numida meleagris (helmeted guineafowl)
Lineage: Eukaryota; Metazoa; Chordata; Aves; Galliformes; Numididae
Description: lncRNA (ENSNMEG00000002936.1)
Source: RNAcentral
GUUAUGGGGCAAUGUGGGGCACUAUGGGGUGUGUUAGGGCAGUUAUGGGGUGCUGCGGGGCGCUAUGGGGCAGGUUAGGGCAGUUAUGGGGCGAUGGGGGAAGCUGUGGGGCAGUUGUGGGGCGCUAUGGGGCAGAGCAGUGAUCCCCUCCUGCCCCACAGCGAGCGAUCGGGGCCUGGUUGCGGCGCGGCUUCGAUGGAGUCUUCCUGGACGGCAUCGAGGAGCUGAAGGUGUGGGGCUGACUUGUGGGGCGCUAUGGGGCGGGGCUGUGGGGCGCUAUGGGGCAGUGCUGUGGGGCACAGUGGGGCGCUAUGGGGCGGUGCUGUGGGGCUCUCUGGGGCGUUAUGGGGCGGUGCUGUGGGGCGCUAUGGGGCAGUGCCUUGGGGCUGUGCUGUGGGGCGCUAUGGGGCGGUGCUGUGGGGCGCAGUGGGGCGCUAUGGGGCCACGCCACGGGGCUGUGCUG